GGAUGCAUAGGCUAAGAUGGAUGGAUGCACAGAUGAAUGGAUGAUUUGUGGAUAGAUAGAUGGAUAGAUGGAUGGAUGGAUAGAUGGAUGGAUGGAUGGAUGGAUGAAUCCUUUACAUCCCAAUCCUUCCUCAAUGCUCCAAAAGCCUCUCUCAAAGCCUAAUUGUCCUCCACUGCUCAUUAAACUGACCCUCCAAUGUUUUAACAAAACUCCUCAUCGAUGCAAUUAUCCACAUCAUUUUUUGUGUAUAUUUUCCCCAGUAGAAUGUAAACUCUAACCACUGUCCUUGUCUUCAUUACACAAACAUAUUUCUGAGAAAUCCAUCAUAAGGCAGAAUUCUAGAGGCUGAGAAGUCAUCAGUGGAUGAAAUAAAGAAGGUGCUCUGCCUUCAUGGAACAAAAAUGAGAACUUGGCAGAAACAAGUGGACUUGAAGACAUUUGAAGUCUAUUCCACUCCUUGGAAUCGGAAUUCAAGCAGGCAAAGUGAGCACAGUGGUUUAGUCCCAGCUCUACCUCUUUGUAUAUUCAGUACUGAUUAGGCACCUCUCACCCCAGGGCCUUUGCACACACUGGUCCUUCUGUCUGGAAUGCUUUCCCCCAACACAUAUACAACCUUUUCAUUUGCAUGACUUUAUUUAUCCCUUAUUAAUCAGUUUGGCCUUUCAGAAGUCAUCCUGAUCCACUCCUAGGGUGGGUCAGGGGCUCCCUCAGUGCUCCCACGCUGCCCUGUGAUUCUCCACCACAAUCUCUUUUAUUCUUUCUUCUUUUUUUUAAAGACAGGGUCUUGUUCUGUCACCCAGGCUGCAGUGGCACAAUCAUAGCUCACUGCAGCAUCCAACUCCUGGACUCAAGCAAUCCUCCCACCUCAGCUUCCUGAGUACCUGGGACACACUACCACGCCCAACUAAUGUUUUUGUUUUUAUUUUUAUUUAUGUAGAGGUGGGAUCUCACUAUUUUAGCCAGGCUUGCCUUGAAUUUGUGGCCUCAAGAGAUCCUCCCACCUCAGCCUCCCAAAGCACUGGGAUUACAGGCAUGAGCCACCGUGACUGGCACCCUUGUUAGUCUUGACCACUCAGUGUCAUGACUGCUUGGUUAUAGGUCUGUCCUCCACAUUCGAUUAUAAGUUUCAUGAGGGCAAUCCUUGUACCGUGCUUGUUUCUGUCUCCUCGACACCCAGCACAAUGUCUGCACACAGCAGGUGCUGAAUACAUGCAGGCUCCUUGAAGGGGAACUGCAAGGUGGUGUCCAGAGACUUGAAGCAAUCCUUUAGAGAGUUCUGCUGGUAAAACUCCACCAGCUCCUAGAAGGCGGACCACAUGGCAGAUGCUAUCCCAGCGGGCCAGCCCAUAAGGGGGCAGAGCUAGGAACAGCCAUAUGCAACUCCUCACAUGAAGCAGGCCCUGUUUCUGGCCUCUUUGGAAAGUGACCCCUUGAAUACUCCCCAUGAUGGGGAGUUCAUCACCUCCCUGAGCAGCCAGGACUAUUUAUGGGGAAGGGACCACACUGCCUAAAACAGGUUCUUUCUUUCUUUUUUUUUUUUCUUUGAGACGGAGUCUGGCUCUGUCGCC
RNAcentral lists this long non-coding RNA (1568 nucleotides) under Homo sapiens (human). RNAcentral describes it as "HSALNT0255147". Lineage: Eukaryota; Metazoa; Chordata; Mammalia; Primates; Hominidae. The record is from RNAcentral.